Molecule: long non-coding RNA, 3339 nt
Organism: Balaenoptera acutorostrata (minke whale)
Lineage: Eukaryota; Metazoa; Chordata; Mammalia; Artiodactyla; Balaenopteridae
Exons: 3
Source: RefSeq, a predicted model, not a curated record
UCUGUGAAGGCUGUGAGAGACAGCAUCCAGCAGUUGUGCAUGGUAAUUCUGAAGAUGAAGACCUGGGGUUCUUUGAAUUUUUGUGGUGCCAGACAUAAACUGGAUAAAAACAAAAGUACACUGCUCCUGGUGGAUUCAAUGUGGACUGACUGUUAAGAGAAAUGGAAGUUGUUUAAUACAACUCUUUUUUAAAAUUUAAUUUAAAAAAUGUAGUCCAACGAGUAAUUGCUGAAGACCUCCUAAAUUAAGCGUCACCAUGAAAGUUCAAGUAUUCAUGAAGACUAGAAAGAUGCUGCCCUAAAGGAUAUAAAUAUCUACUAAGGAAGUGAAGGACUGUUAAAUGCAAAUUGACAUCCAGGAGACUGGCCCGCUACCUGACAGCUUUCAGUUUGCUGUGACUAUUCUUGUCUGGUGCCUCCCAGAAAGGCUGCUUUGGAAAACCACUGAUUCUCAAAUAAUGGCUGUCAUUUCUACAUCUGCGCCUAGUCUGACCCUUUUUCACAGGCCGCAAUCCCUGCUUCCUUCCUAUAAUUCUGCUUACCCCAUGAGGGCAACUAUGAAUGUGGCCUUGCUGUCUUCCUUCUAUCUGGUCCCAUCUGUACUGUAUCUAAUGGAAAUUAAUCCACAUUCCUAGCAGGUGUAUGUUAUUAUUUCCAAGUUUGCACUUCAGAUGCAGGUGUCUCUCUUCCAGGAUUGGUUCAUGAUGAACUUAUAUUCAUGUUCAUACCUUACCCAAAGUUAAUCCAGGAAAGGUAUUCAGACAAUCAAUGUUUAUAAAUAUUGGUUUUGUCAACUUAUUUAUGUCUUUUCCUCCCCAGGGAAACAAUUAAUUUGGCAUGAAUUCUUCAGAUGUUUUUGGCUAGCUUCCAGAUGUUUAAAAACAGACAAAAUUUGCAAAAGCAUGUUUAAUUGUUUAAUUUCAUGUCAUGUUUGAACCCACUUACAUGUCCUCCGUUUAACUGAACACUAUUGAAUGUAAAUAUUUUAUUACUUUUGUUUUUCUUUAACAGAACUAGGAAAGAAUGUUGCCUUGUUAGAGAUUUAGUUCUCCAUCCAAAACUACCUCCAACUGAGGGAACAGUACACUAUGAAACACCACGUGGUUUCUAACAAGUUGUCAAUUAAGAUCUGUUACUCUGUAUUUGUGUGAUGAGUGGGAGGCAACUGUACUAAAACCUUAUUCAAAUAUCACAAUUAUUAUAUAAGAAAUAUAAAUUACAUCUACUUAUGUCUGUUUAUAUCUUCUACUGUUUUAGCAACUAGAUAUGCUUUAUAUAAAAGGGAAAAAAUCUUAAAAUGUAAGAAAAAUAUAAAAUCUAAGCUUUGGAGAAAUAGUUAUAUAGAAACAAAUUUCCUUUGCAUCUCUAAAAGCCUAAACUGGUCUCAGAGUCCUUUUCAAAUCAACUGUUUGUCAAAGCCAAUUCUUUAUCAUAAUCCAUCUAUAUCAGGAUGGAAUAAGCAAAACCUAUGGUCUACCAGUACAAAACUGUUACCCAAUAUUUUUGGUUAUUUUUUAUUCCAGCCUGGGCCUAUAAAAACACUAAAAAGGAAGGUUUACUAAAAUAUAGUCUGGCAUUAUUUUUAGUUCCUGUUAGCUUGACCUUUGUGAGCUUGAAGAAUCCCAUCCUCCAUCCAUCCUCCAAAUCCCUUGAAUUAUAAGCAAAUGCUCCUCUUUUGGUUGGUUGUUACUAAAUCAAUUGAAACACUUUACAGUAUUGCUGCAUAUAAUUUGGUGUAUGGACCAAUUGCAGUGGUAUUACCUAGGAGUUUUUAUUUUUCUAAAGAUUUUUUUGAUGUGGACCAUUUUUAAAGUCUUUAUUGAAUUUAUUACAAUAUUGCUUCUGUUUUAUGUUCUGGUUUUUUGGCCGCAAGGCAUGUGGGAUCUUGGUUCCCCAACCAGGGAUCGACCCCACACCCCCUGCAUUGGAAGGCGAGGUCUUAACUACUGGACCGCCUAAACAUGCAGAAUUUAAGUCUACAUAUCAGACUUAACUGAGUCAAAAUACACAUGUAUUUAUUUAUUUUUGGCCAUCCUAAGAAGUGUGUGGUGGUAUCUCAUUAUUGUUUUUCCUUGACUAUUUUUUAUUUAUAAAUAUUUGCUGAUUGAGUAUUAAAUUGCAUUUUAGAUUACAUAUAAACUUGAAUAAUUUUUCAAAUGUUUAAUGGCCCUUUGUAUUUUUCUGCUUUGUAUUUUUCCUUCUGUCUCAUUUUCUUAAAACACACAUUGUUGCAUUUAUGCGCUACUGCUAUGGGUAUCCUUUUUUUUCCUUUUAAAACCCACCACCUGCCCUGGGUGCCAGCGCAACAGCAAGGGUUAAGUCCCAGCGUAACCUGAAUGGGGACGUGCUGGGCCUGAUUAUGGAGGAAAGACACUCCACCAGAAGAGCUACUUGCAUUGGAGCAUAUACUGGUAGGUGUCAAGAGAGUACCCCUGGCAUUGGAUUAUUAUUAUUUUUAAAAAUUUCUCCCAUCCCCACACUCUGUCUCUGGAGUCUACCAAUCUGUUCUCUGUAUCUAUGAGCUUGUUUUGUUUUGUUUUUUUAAGAUUCCACAUGUAAAAGAAAUGAUAUGGUAUUUGUCUUUAUCUGACUUAUUUCACUUAGUAAAAUGCCCAUGAGGUCCAUCCAUGUUGUCACAAAUAGCAGGAUUUGAUUUUUUUAUGGCUGAAUAAUACUACAUUGUCUAUAUAUAUACCACAAUUUCUUUAUCCAUUCAUCCAUUGAUGGACACUUAGGUUGUUUCCAUAUCUUAGCUAUUGUAAAUAAUGCUACAAUGAACACGGGGAAGCAUAUAUCUUUUUGAGUUAGUGUUUUUGUUUUCCUCAGAUAAAUACCCAGGAGUGGAAUUGCUGAAUCAUAUGGUAUAAUAGUUCUAAUUUUAGUUGUUUGAGGAGCCGCCAUACUUUUUUCAUAGUGGCUGCACCAAUUUAUAUUCCCACCAACAGUGCACCAGGGUUUCCUUUUCUCCACAUCCUUGCCAAUACAUACUUCUUGACUUUUUGAUAGUAGCUGUUUUAACUGGUGUGAAUUGAUAUUGUAGUUUUGAUUUUCAUUUCCCUGAUAAUUAAUGAUGUUGAGCAUCUUUUCAUAACUUAUUGACCAUCUGUUUGUCUUCUUUGGAAAAACGUCUUCAGAUAUUAUGCCCAUUUUUUUUUAAAUUAAUUAAUUAAUUAAUUAAUUUUUGGCUGUGUUGGGUCUUCGUUUCUGUGCGAGGGCUUUCUCUAGUUGCGGCAAGCGGGGGCCACUCUUCAUCGCAGUACGUGGAUUAUGCCCAUUUUUUAAUUGAAUUGUUUGGUUUUUUGCUGUUGAGUUGUAAGAGUUUCUUUUACAGACAAACCUU